Molecule: long non-coding RNA, 2052 nt
Filed under: Homo sapiens (human)
Lineage: Eukaryota; Metazoa; Chordata; Mammalia; Primates; Hominidae
Description: non-protein coding lnc-PRDM8-8:1
Source: RNAcentral
AAGAAAAUAUUUCCAAAACCAAUAUGUGAUGUAAGUCCAACUUUGAAAGUCCAAACUCUGAGUAGUUGCUCCAAAUGAAAUUGAAUUCUGGGAUUAUAUUGAUCAAUAGUACCAUUUAUGAAAUUUAUGCAUUGUAUCAUUUUAUCUAUUGCAGAAAAGAAGUUGAAAUGAGAAAUAUAAAAAUUGAGUGAUUAGUUUUAGCCCAAAAUAAAUAAAGAUAUAUAAUAUUUUCUAAUCUGGGCAUGCUUUAAAUUUAGAAAAAAAGUGUGGCUUUUGAAGUAGUUUGUUAACAUUAAUAUAGUACUUUCUGAUUACUUUGCAAGGAAAAGUGAUUGACAUCAGAGAAGGUGAAAAUUUAUUAGUCAAAUUUCAAUAGAAAUAGUUUUACUAUAACAGGGAAUGGGAUUUUAAAAUUACAUGAUGUUUUAGUAAUCACAACCAAAAAUGUCUCCUCUCAUUUGGCUCAACAUAUUUCUAUAAAGUCUCUUUUUCGACCAUGACAGUUAUUAUAACCAUGUGUGGAAAUAAAUAAUACUUAAGAACCAGAGCUUUGAAUUUCUGUAUUAUAAAGUUUAAAACAGAUUUGAAAAGCACAUUUAGUUACAUUGAUUGCAUUCUAUACUGGAAAACAAAACAAAACAAAAGCUACUGUGAGAACUAAGGAACAGAUAGGUGAAAGAUAUGUAUUUAAAAGAUACAUAAAGUUUACGAAUUUUUAUGGUGUCUAUUUUCUGUGGGAUCCAAUUAAACCAAAGAGCUUCUGCACAGCAAAAGAAACUAUCAUCAGAGUGAACAGGCAACCUACAGAAUGGGAGAAAAUUUUUUCAAUCUACCUAUCUGAAAAAAGUCUAAUAUCCAGAAUUUGCAAGGAACUUAAACGUAUUUACAAGAAGAAAACAAACAACCCCAUCAAAAAGUGGGCAAAGGAUAUAAACAGACACUUCUCAAAAGAAGACAUUUAUGCAGUCAACAAACAUAUUUUAAAAAGCUCAUCACUGAUCAUCAGAGAAAUGCAAAUCAAAACCACAAUGAGAUACCAUCUCACACCAGUCAGAAUGGCAAUUAAAAAGUCAGGAAAACAAUAGAUACUGGCAGGGUUGUGGAGAAAUAAGAAUGCUUUUACAUUGUUGUUGGGAAUGUAAAUUAGUUCAACCAUUUUGGAAGACAGUAUGGCAAUUCCUCAAAGAUCUAGAACCAGAAAUACCAUUUGACCCAACAACCCCAUUACUGGGUGUCUACCCAAAGGAAUAUAAAUCAUUCUACCAUAAGGACACAUGCACACAUAUGUUUAUUGGAGCACAAUACCAAAGACAUGGAACCAACUGAAAUGCCCAUCAAUGAUAGACUGGAUAAAGAAAAUGUGGUACAUAAACACCAUGGAAUACUAUGCAGCCAUACAAAGGAAUGAGAUCAUGUCCUUUUCGUGGACAUAAACGAAGCUGGAAGCCAUCAUCCUCAGCAAACUAACACAGGAACAGAAAACCAAACACCGCAUGUUCUCACUCAUAAGUGGGAGCUGAACACUGAGAACAGAGAGAGGAACAACAUACACCAGGGACUGUUGGGGGUAGGUUUGAAGGGAGGGAACUUAGAGGAUGGGUCUAUAGGUGCAACAAACCACCAUGGCACAUUUAUACCUAUGUAGCAUACCUGAACGUUCUGCACAUGUAUCUUGUUGAGUUUUUUUUAGAAGAAAUAAAGACAAAAAUUAAUUGAUAGGCAGGUUAAAGAUUUGAAAUUAUAAAAAUGGAUUUAUUUAUAAUCUUUGAAGAGCACUCAUUUUGUGGGGUAAAGUUACUUAAUAAAACUUUUAUCUGGAAUACAUUAAUAAUUACUGGACUUUACUAUUUGGAGAACUCACAAUUUAGAAAAACAUUUUUACUAUUACAUUUCUGCUAUGUUUCUCAUAUAUUUAAUCUUCAGUUGAUACACAUAGAUCCGAUACUGCCUCUUUAAAUAUAUGGCAACUAUUCACUUAGAAGUAUUUAUCUGUUUAUGGCGGUGUUUAUCUGUCAGUCAGUCAGCUACUGUUUAUUGAGGGCCCACAGAAUA